UACGGAGGGGGCUAGCGUUGUUCGGAAUUACUGGGCGUAAAGCGCACGUAGGCGGACUGUUAAGUCGGGGGUGAAAUCCUGGAGCUCAACUCCAGAACUGCCUUCGAUACUGAAGAGCUCGAGUCCGGGAGAGGUGAGUGGAACUGCGAGUGUAGAGGUGAAAUUCGUAGAUAUUCGCAAGAACACCAGUGGCGAAGGCGGCUCACUGGCCCGGUACUGACGCUGAGGUGCGAAAGCGUGGGGAGCAAACAGG
Molecule: ribosomal RNA, 253 nt
Filed under: uncultured bacterium
Lineage: Bacteria
Description: partial 16S ribosomal RNA
Rfam family: Bacterial small subunit ribosomal RNA
Source: RNAcentral